UUUAUGGAGAGUUUGAUCCUGGCUCAGAGUGAACGCUGGCGGCGUGCCUAAUACAUGCAAGUCGAACGAUGAAGCUUCUAGCUUGCUAGAAUGCUGAUUAGUGGCGCACGGGUGAGUAACGCAUAGGUUAUGUGCCUCUUAGUUUGGGAUAGCCAUUGGAAACGAUGAUUAAUACCAGAUACUCCCUACGGGGGAAAGAUUUAUCGCUAAGAGAUCAGCCUAUGUCCUAUCAGCUUGUUGGUAAGGUAAUGGCUUACCAAGGCUAUGACGGGUAUCCGGCCUGAGAGGGUGAACGGACACACUGGAACUGAGACACGGUCCAGACUCCUACGGGAGGCAGCAGUAGGGAAUAUUGCUCAAUGGGGGAAACCCUGAAGCAGCAACGCCGCGUGGAGGAUGAAGGUUUUAGGAUUGUAAACUCCUUUUGUUAGAGAAGAUAAUGACGGUAUCUAACGAAUAAGCACCGGCUAACUCCGUGCCAGCAGCCGCGGUAAUACGGAGGGUGCAAGCGUUACUCGGAAUCACUGGGCGUAAAGAGCGCGUAGGCGGGAUAGUCAGUCAGGUGUGAAAUCCUAUGGCUUAACCAUAGAACUGCAUUUGAAACUACUAUUCUAGAGUGUGGGAGAGGUAGGUGGAAUUCUUGGUGUAGGGGUAAAAUCCGUAGAGAUCAAGAGGAAUACUCAUUGCGAAGGCGACCUGCUGGAACAUUACUGACGCUGAUUGCGCGAAAGCGUGGGGAGCAAACAGGAUUAGAUACCCUGGUAGUCCACGCCCUAAACGAUGGAUGCUAGUUGUUGGAGGGCUUAGUCUCUCCAGUAAUGCAGCUAACGCAUUAAGCAUCCCGCCUGGGGAGUACGGUCGCAAGAUUAAAACUCAAAGGAAUAGACGGGGACCCGCACAAGCGGUGGAGCAUGUGGUUUAAUUCGAAGAUACACGAAGAACCUUACCUAGGCUUGACAUUGAGAGAAUCCUCUAGAAAUAGUGGAGUGUCUGGCUUGCCAGACCUUGAAAACAGGUGCUGCACGGCUGUCGUCAGCUCGUGUCGUGAGAUGUUGGGUUAAGUCCCGCAACGAGCGCAACCCCCUUUCUUAGUUGCUAACAGGUUAUGCUGAGAACUCUAAGGAUACUGCCUCCGUAAGGAGGAGGAAGGUGGGGACGACGUCAAGUCAUCAUGGCCCUUACGCCUAGGGCUACACACGUGCUACAAUGGGGUGCACAAAGAGAAGCAAUACUGCGAAGUGGAGCCAAUCUUCAAAACAUCUCUCAGUUCGGAUUGUAGGCUGCAACUCGCCUGCAUGAAGCUGGAAUCGCUAGUAAUCGCAAAUCAGCCAUGUUGCGGUGAAUACGUUCCCGGGUCUUGUACUCACCGCCCGUCACACCAUGGGAGUUGUGUUUGCCUUAAGUCAGGAUGCUAAAUUGGCUACUGCCCACGGCACACACAGCGACUGGGGUGAAGUCGUAACAAGGUAACCGUAGGUGAACCUGCGGUUGGAUCACCUCCUUUCUA
RNAcentral lists this ribosomal RNA (1507 nucleotides) under Helicobacter pylori. RNAcentral describes it as "bacterial SSU rRNA". It matches the Rfam family "Bacterial small subunit ribosomal RNA". Lineage: Bacteria; Pseudomonadati; Campylobacterota; Epsilonproteobacteria; Campylobacterales; Helicobacteraceae. The record is from RNAcentral.